Bactrocera neohumeralis is the source of this 1163-nucleotide long non-coding RNA. RefSeq lists it as uncharacterized. The record is from RefSeq and is a predicted model, not a curated record. The transcript is spliced from 4 exons. NCBI's taxonomy places the organism in Eukaryota, Metazoa, Arthropoda, Insecta, Diptera, Tephritidae.
CACUGUUAUAUUUUGUGCAAUUUUCGAAUGAAUGGGAGAAAGCAUAAGUAAGAAAGAGAAAACCUGUCGACUUUCUAGCUUAUCGAAAUAUUAAUAAGUUAAAAGAGAAAAGGCGGUACACAAUUUUUCAAAAAGAAGUAUUAAUAACUAAGCUUGGAAAUGCGCAAUAGUUUGGUUACUUAUUUCUUAUUUGAUCAAUAUUUAAAUACGAAUAUUGCUUUUAAAUAUUUCUACACUCGUGGCCACGCAAAGUUUACCACUAUACUGUUUUAGAUUUGUAAUAGGUCUUUUUGGUUCGUUCGGGAUUUUCUUCAAUUUUGUUUUUUGUUAAGAUUUUAGUAAGCAGAAGUAAACUAAAUUAUAUUAUCUCAUCAUAAUUAUAGUUUUUAAAUUGUUACUUUGUUUGUUGAGCAAAACUACAGGUUAUAGUGUUGAGAAAUAUGCACAGCACUUGAAAAUUUUGAGUGAUUAACAAGAGGAGAAAGAAUGUUUGAAACAACUUUAUAAAAAUGGCUGUACAUUGCUAGUAGUGAUAUCACACGAUAUCUGUUUAAUUUGCAGCGGCUUGGUGGUUAUACGUUUAAUCAAACCGCUGCCUUUGAAACUGCACAAUGAAAGAGAAACUUUGCAAUACGAGUAUCAUCUAUGACAUCGAGAUGGAACAUUACCCAAUGGUUGUGUGAUAAGGGUUUUGAGGCUGGGUCAGUGUUUAACACCAUACAAAUGGGCGAUAUCGAUAUCUGACCGAAAUUGUAUAAGCAUAUCGUGCGCGUGUGGAUGUUACUGAAAAUGAAAAAAUGUUACAGAAAAAAAAAAAAAAAUUCUAAUAUUCACAAAUUUCAAAUUCAUCUUGAAGAUUCGCUACAAAUAAAAGAUUUGGUUGUUAUUUUGGCUGAGAUGGCAAAGGAUCGCGGUGGUGUUUGGAUAUGUGUAGGAAACAAGAAAAUUAAGAAAAGUAUUACCGACACCUUCAAGGAGCUCACAACUUCUCUAUUGGUACAUAACCAUUUUAACCCUGAGUACUAAAAUUAACCCACAUUUUAUGUUUUGACAAGCAAAGGUUGUCAUCAUUAGUUAAAUAUCUGAAAUAUUUGAUAUUUGCUUUUGUUCUCAGUAGGCUUAGAUGCUAACAGUACCAAUCACACAAACUUUGUUUUUAGAAA